CUGAUCACUUAAUCAAUUCUUAUAACGUAAAACCACUAGUCCCUCUUGUUCUCCCCGCUCCUUGCUGGUGAGACCCAUCUGGUUCCUCGCCUAAGAUAACCUUGGAGCCUACUGUAUAACCAGAGAGAACCAUUGUCAUAACCUUGAACUCAUACUCAAUUUCCCAGAAAAAUUGCCCAAAUUUCAUCUAUCAAAACCCAACUCGAAUUUAACCAAUCUUCUACAAGCCACGUACCCUAUCUCAUUUCACAGUUGGUCUGUGUCAUCGCCUUCUAGGAGCGAAUUCAAAUCUUUUCAUAUGUGCGGAGCUUCUUCAAUUUCCAUCAGAUCUGUUUUUCAUAUGUAUUGUGUGCUAAAUCGAAGGGGACAGAUAGUAAGGAAGGAAAAAUCAAAGAUGAAAUUGCCCUUCUUUUCGUGAGGACCCAUAUGAAUCUUCCUAAAUAACACUUGAAAUAUUCAAAUUAUACAAUCUGGAUUGAUGUGAAUUGAGUAUUUUCAAGUUCCCUGUGGAAAAGGUCAAGAAUGGUGAGCUGGUUAACGUCAAAAUAUGAAAAUGGGGAAAUAAAGGGUGUUGGUUCAUCUUCAAAUGUGAAAAAGAUGAAACAUGGUGAACUGGAUUAAUGUUAAGAUGAAGAUGAAGUGGUUAAAGCUUCAGCUUCCUUGGUUCUGUUCUUUUAGUAUUUGACACCGUUUUAUGAAGAUGGCUUGAUAAUGAUAUUAUGUUUCUUGAUAUUUGGCAACUGUAGAGUAGAAGUUAUGCUGAAUAUAUUUUUAGAUGACUACUAGAGUGUAAAAGAGAUUGCUCUGGCAAUGACAAUGGAAAAAAAAAACAGAAAUCCUAAGUUUAGACAAACAAAAACAACUCAAAUAAACAUAAAUAUUUAUACCUAAAUAAGAAAAUUAGACAGAACAUAUAACUUUUUUUUUUUUGACAUAUUACUUACCUUUUAUUGAAAAGUGCAUCCAAAUAUGACUAAGAAGACCUGAAACGAAUAAAGUAAUUAACAUCCAACAUAUGAGGAUCGACUUUGGGAUGUCGCCCCCUCAUUACGAAGAAGCUAAGAGAAAAAAGCAAGCCAAUAGUAACAAUACUUACUGGACUCUGAGCUGCUGAUAGGAGAACGAAGUGGACCAAUAUGAGGAUUAAAUGCAAGAAAAAAAAGGAAGCAGACUUGGUGGAAAACUUAUGUUAUUUAGAGGUUAUUAUAAAUAUCCGAUAGAUGAAUUUCAGCUUCGACACACCAUGAAGCUGGGAUUCUAUAGAUUACUUAAAGCAUGAUUGGCUAUACUAUUUGUUUAAUGAUCUUUAAAAUGAAUUUCGAACUACAUCAAGGGUACAGUUUGUAUCGCCUUGGAAUUAAGUUAUUUGUUCCUAUCAUAAACCUGAAGCAGUAAUUAAUAUAUAUUAGUUAUCACCCAGCAUAAUGCACUCGGUUAAUCUGAAAAUGAUAAAUGGAAAUCAUAAAUGUGUAUGAAAAAACAGCAAAAUCUAUUGUUUCACGUAUUAUUAGAGCUUCAUAAGUGUAACGACCCGUUUGUUCGUUUAGCACUUUAAAACUACGAAAAGGGUAUGGGACUAUAUUGUAUUUAUUUAUAUGAUUUUAAUACAUGUUAUAGUUUAUAUGAGAUGAUGAAUAGAGUGAAGUAAUCUGAGGACUAAUGAUAUAUUACAUCUGGUGAAAGGGCAAUUGAUAUCUUAGGAAGACAUUUGUUAUGUAAAAGGAAAAAAAAAAGUGGACAGCCCACUAUUUAGUGGUCUCACGUAAAAGUUGGCAAAAAUAUGUAGUUAAUUAGAAAUAAAUGAAGUGGGCAAGCCACUUUUAUUAUGAUGCUGAGUGACAUUCGAAAUGUAAAAAAAAAAAAAAAAAGUAGGUCAGCCCACCAUUUGGUGGUCUCACGUAACCCAAGGAGAGUUGACAAUAAUAUAUACUCAAUUAGAAAUAAAUGAAGUGGGCAAGCCACUUUUAUGAUAUUGCCAGGAAUAAAAGAGGAAUUAAGUGGAAGGUUUGUUUUUGGUUUACACGGAAAGAAGGCAAAAGAUAGAAAAGAGAAGGAAACAGGCCAGAGAAAUUAUUUUGAUCAUUCAGAGGCUCUACGCAAAGGGAAGGCAUUAGUUUGAUUGUUCGUGGCACCCGCUCGGCAUUGAGAGUACGAUCCAGGUUCCAAUUCUACACCCCGUGGCUGAUAGGCGAGGGUGACAUCUUUCAGUCAUUCAGGGUGAGCUACUUGGUCAUCCGUGGCCCCUGAAGGACCUCCUCCUCUAUUUAUUUCUGUUUUUAUUUCGACAGACAAUAUGUAGCCUUCGGGUAUUUCAGACUUCUAUUCCGUAUUAUGUUAGUGCUCUUGUACCCUCUAACCAGAUUUUGGGGUUGUCGUGACAUUUCUAGUUAUGAUAAGUAUUUAAGACUUGAUAA
Molecule: long non-coding RNA, 2414 nt
Organism: Lycium barbarum (goji berry)
Lineage: Eukaryota; Viridiplantae; Streptophyta; Magnoliopsida; Solanales; Solanaceae
Exons: 4
Source: RefSeq, a predicted model, not a curated record